UUGACGGGGACCCGCACAAGCGGCGGAGCAUGCGGAUUAAUUCGAUGCAACGCGAAGAACCUUACCAAGGCUUGACAUAUAGAGGAAACGGCUGGAAACAGUCGCCCCGCAAGGUCUCUAUACAGCUGGUGCAUGGUUGUCGUCAGCUCGUGUCGUGAGAUGUUGGGUUAAGUCCCGCAACGAGCGCAACCCUCGUUCUAUGUUGCCAGCACGUAAUGGUGGGAACUCAUGGGAUACUGCCGGGGUCAACUCGGAGGAAGGUGGGGAUGACGUCAAAUCAUCAUGCCCCCUAUGUCUUGGGCUUCACGCAUGCUACAAUGGCCGGUACAAAGGGCUGCAAUACCGUGAGGUGGAGCGAAUCCCAAAAAGCCGGUCCCAGUUCGGAUUGAGGUCUGCAACUCGACCUCAUGAAGUCGGAGUCGCUAGUAAUCGCAGAUCAGCAACGCUGCGGUGAAUACGUUCCCGGGUCUUGUACACACCGCCCGUCAAGUCAUGAAAGUCGGUAACACCUGAAGCCGGU
This 520-nucleotide ribosomal RNA is filed under the name Microbacterium sp. 475-2. RNAcentral's name for it is "bacterial SSU rRNA". It matches the Rfam family "Bacterial small subunit ribosomal RNA", at positions 910 to 1431 of the family's 1533-position model. Lineage: Bacteria; Bacillati; Actinomycetota; Actinomycetes; Micrococcales; Microbacteriaceae. The record is from RNAcentral.